AAAACCCUAAAAUUGAUUUGUUGAAACCACUCCUCCUCCUCCUCAUCUCACGCGGCCGCCACCUCCUCUCACGCCGCCGCCACCUCCUCCUCUUCUCCUCCUCUCACGCCGCCGCCUCCUCCUCUUCUCCUCCUCUCACGCCGCCGCCUCCUCUUCUCCUCCUCUCACGCCGCCGCCGCCUCUUCUCCUCUCACCUCCUCCUAAUUUCUAUGGCGGAUAAUCAAUUUACGUCAACU
RNAcentral lists this long non-coding RNA (236 nucleotides) under Erythranthe guttata (spotted monkey flower). RNAcentral's name for it is "long non-coding RNA (EGUT_LNC000435)". Lineage: Eukaryota; Viridiplantae; Streptophyta; Magnoliopsida; Lamiales; Phrymaceae. The record is from RNAcentral.